This 1155-nucleotide long non-coding RNA is filed under the name Piliocolobus tephrosceles (Ugandan red Colobus). RNAcentral's name for it is "lncRNA (ENSPTEG00000024843.1)". Lineage: Eukaryota; Metazoa; Chordata; Mammalia; Primates; Cercopithecidae. The record is from RNAcentral.
CCUUAUUUUUUCUGGGGCUUUUGACUUAUUUCAGGUGUCUGAUUAAUCUUCGCAGAAGUGAUGAUGAUGACGAUGAGCAUGAUGAUGACGAUGGCCUUGAUGGUGAUGCUGCCAAUCUUUUCUGCAUAGCCCUCUGAGAGAUCAGACUGUCGUCUAAGGUACAUGGCACGACAACAUGCGUGAAAUGCUUCAUGGUUUGCACGUCUCCUGACUACCACAGCUGCCUGCGUCCUCUGACAGCCCAGAACAAUGAAACAACAGUGAGGCAUCUGUUCCCGUGAACUUGUAAAUACCAAGUUUCUGUGAAAAGUCGGAGGACAAAUGCUGACAGGCAGGACAGAAGGUGAAAUGGAAACAAAGGCGUCUUGCUGAGGGGUCCUGCGGUGCCUGUCCAGCCUUUCCAGCCGCCGAAUCACCGGACAUGCUCGAGGACACUCACUUAUUAGGCUCUCCAGGACCCUCUGAGCGAGGACGAAGAAACAUAUGCUUCAUUUUAUAUUAGAAAAAUGGUGCUGUGAAAGCAGCAUACAAGCCAGAGAGCCUACUGGAAGCAAGAGGGGAAAACCCAGUCAGGUAUGGGGGCUGCGGGGAGGAUGCCCGGCGGCGGAGACUGGAUUCAGGAUCUGAUGCCUGAACUGAACCUUCUAUUAAGAGGUGAGUGGGCUGGGAGAUUGUGAUGCCCAGAGGGUGAGGAAGGAAGAAUACAACAGAGGACAAAGAUGACGAGAACAGCCCAUGCUAGCUAGCUUGAAGACGUUAGGAAGAGCAAAAUGAGAAGAGAGGACAGGAGACAGACAAUAUUGUAGGACAGUGAUGCCUCUAGAAUCUUAGGAAAAAACUCUGAGCUUUUACAAAUACAAAAACUAAGAACUACUUAUAAAAAAUAUUAUGACGCUGACAUAAGAAAGUGAUGGGUCAGGGCAGAGUGGGAGAGAAUCAAGAGAUAGGAGGAAAUGUGGGAAGAAAGGGAUACAGACCAAACUACAGGGAGCGUUAUUUCUUCAGAAACUCUAGCUAAACGCUUUUGCCUUUUGCAUAAAAAUGGCACAAGCCAUUUUUGAGAGGGUGGGAUUUUGGAGCAGUUUUAAUGGACAUUUAGUGUGUCUGUCUCUUUCUUUUCCCAAAAUAAAUUAUUUUUUCUAAAGUAACUAUACA